GGCUCGGCCUAGGCGAAGGCGCUGCUAGCCCUGAGGGACUCGUGACAACGUUUCCGCAGCCGUCUGUACUCCUGCUCCUGUUCCCUUCCCCGGCGUGUUUCCGCCACGCUGCCCCGGCACCGGGAGGGGUACAGAGCUCUGAGCCCCCACCGUGCUGCCUGGCUGGGAUCCAGGUCAGCGCUGUCCCCGCGGGGCCUCGCUGCUGCCACCCCCCGCGCAGAGACAGCUCUCAGUGAGCAGUGCUCGUCCUGGGUGAGCUCUCAGCCCCCCAGGGACGCUUCCAUCGCCCCAGCCCUCGCCCCUGCCAGCCGCUCUCCCUUUUCCCACACAUGCUCCGCAGCCGCGUUGUGCCCAAACCCUGGUUCCGGGGUUAGGGUGAAGCCCCUCCUGUCCCCCAACGUAAACCACAGCUCUAUUCCAGAUCCACUGCCGGCAGGAUGAACCCUUCGACCCCGCGUUGACUCUGCUGUAACCCGGUAGAAUAGUUCGAACCAGCCACUUCCGGAGCCACUCCUGCCCGAGCGAGCCUCGCCGCGUGUGGAUCCCCCAGGAAGACGCCGGGAUGCCUGCACCGAGCACGAUGCUGAUGCUGCUUGUUGUUCUCCGUACUGCCCUGCCAGCGCCCACCCGGCUCAACCUGCACAGAGAUGUUGCGGGGAGCUGGCGGUCGCAGUUCCUUUGUAACUCCAGCUAGUUUGCGUCUCAUGCUCGGGAAGGCUCUCUCUGGUUUCUGCUUCACCUCAUUUGCAGCUUCAGGUGAUUUGUUUCUGCUCCCAGUUUGUCUCAGGUUGAGCUCUUAGAGUUUGUUCGUGCCUCCAGCAUGUUGUAGACUCCAAGCUGGUUUCACCUUCCCCGGCUUAAUUUUGGCUCCAGCUUAUUUCCAUAUUUAAUUGGUCUGUGGCUCCAGUUCAUUUCUGCUCUGGCUCAUUGCUGCUUGUGCUUGUUCGAAUAAUCUUGACUUUUGACAGGGCCACAAAUCAAGUACUAUCAUAACUUAAAUAUGAACAGACAUAAUUGUAUGUUGUCUGAAGAUGGACUGAGCUUCUUGGACCUAUGCAAGUGGACCUUCAAUCUCCAGUGGGAUUCCACACAGGUGCUCCCAUACUGGUUCCAACUGUCAGGAAAAUCUACAAACACCAGAAUUUUAUGUCCAUAAAGGGGACAGAGGAGUCCUGCAACUUUACUCGAGUAAAGGGAGAGAGUCCACUGGGGCACAAGCCCAUGGGGUUUUCUCUCUUGAGGUUUUGGAGGGUGCAGCCUCUAUCCUCAACUCCCAGCUGCAAGUUGCCCUCUUCCUUUCCCCAUUGCCUGAGAUACUCAGAAGGUACAGCCUUCCCAAACCACAUAUUCCACAUAUUGCCACAUAUUCCCCUCUUGUACCUACUAUUUUACCCCAAAGUUCAGAAACUCAAUUUUGUGCAGACCCACUUAUUUGUUUCAGGAGCCAAGCUGUCUGGUCUCUGCAACAAACCUGCUGCUCAAAGGUAGUACAGACAUUGAGACCCAUUUAAAAUAUGUUAACCCCAUACCUUCACCCAUCAAAUUGUUUGGAAAGACAUUAGCUUUCCUCUCACCACCUUGAAGAAUAACAAAUAACAAAGUUCCAAGCAAAGUGGUUAAGUAAUGGAAGCAAUAAUCACAGGAAUAUGGAAGACAGAAAUUGAUUGCCUAAGUUCUUGAAAGGGAAAAACACAGAAAGAUAACAGCCUUCUAAUCCAGAAUAUAUAAUUAUGAACGAAAAAUAUCCCCAGUUUUGACUGGUUCUGUAGUGAAAACUUGCCCUAGUGAUGAACUUUUACUCCUUAUAAUAGGAAAAACCAUACCCCAGCUCAGGCACCUCCCCCUACAAAAGGACCACCACUCACCAAGCAUGGGCUAUGAUUUCUUGGGACACAGUGGCUUUAAUUUGAAGUAGAGAAAGGAUGAGCCAAUAAUAACUUAAGCCAAGUAGUGACUUAAGUAAGACUUAACAGCCCAAGAUUGUGCCUUGAGGUGCUGGGGUUUACCGCCCAGCACCUCUUUCUGCCAGAGCAGUAAAUCAAAUUACAUGUUGUGGUUAAAGAAAUCUCCUUUUUUACAGUGAAUGAGUUUGGUUGAGUAUCUGAUCCUGUGUGUUAACCUAUAGAAGCUCUCACCCUUUUCAACACACUGCUAAUCCCCUCAGUAAUUUUGAUAUAGGAAGAUGAUCCGAGGAAUGUUUGCACAUUGUUCUAGCUGAGAAGAUACAUUUUCCUUAUAAAUAGAGCCCUGAGGCCUCAAACUGUG
Molecule: long non-coding RNA, 2265 nt
Organism: Catharus ustulatus (Swainson's thrush)
Lineage: Eukaryota; Metazoa; Chordata; Aves; Passeriformes; Turdidae
Exons: 2
Source: RefSeq, a predicted model, not a curated record